Molecule: ribosomal RNA, 440 nt
Filed under: uncultured bacterium
Lineage: Bacteria
Description: partial 16S ribosomal RNA
Rfam family: Bacterial small subunit ribosomal RNA
Source: RNAcentral
CCUACGGGAGGCAGCAGUGGGGAAUAUUGCUCAAUGGGGGAAACCCUGAUGCAGCAACGCCGCGUGGAGGAUGAAGGUUUUCGGUUUGUAAAGCCCUUUUGUUAGAGAAGAAUAUGACGGUAUCUAAGGAAUAAGCACCGGCUAACUCCGUGCCAGCAGCCGCGGUAAUACGGAGGGUGCAAGCGUUACUCGGAUUCACUGGGCGUAAAGAGUGCGUAGGCGGGGUGCUAAGUCAGAUGUGAAAUGCUGUAGCUUAACUACAGAACUGCAUUUGAAACUGUUACUCUGGAGUGUGGGAGAGGUAGGCGGAAUUCUUGGUGUAGCGGUGAAAUGCGUAGAGAUCAAGAGGAAUACUCAUGGCGAAGGCGACCUGCUGGAACAUUACUGACGCUGAUGCACGAAAGCGUGGGGAGCAAACAGGAUUAGAUACCCGAGUAGUC